RNAcentral lists this ribosomal RNA (1402 nucleotides) under uncultured bacterium. RNAcentral's name for it is "16S ribosomal RNA". It matches the Rfam family "Bacterial small subunit ribosomal RNA". The record is from RNAcentral.
UUAGAGUUUGAUCCUGGCUCAGGAUGAACGCUAGCGGCAGGCUUAACACAUGCAAGUCGAGGGGCAGCGAGAUCAGUGCUUGCACUGAUUGUCGGCGACCGGCGCACGGGUGCGUAACGCGUAUGCAACCUACCCAUUACAGGGGGAUAACACUGAGAAAUCGGUACUAAUACCCCAUAACAUCCAGGGAGGCAUCUUCUUGGGUUGAAAACUCCGGUGGUAAUGGAUGGGCAUGCGUUGUAUUAGUUAGUUGGUGGGGUAACGGCUCACCAAGACAACGAUACAUAGGGGGACUGAGAGGUUAACCCCCCACAUUGGUACUGAGACACGGACCAAACUCCUACGGGAGGCAGCAGUGAGGAAUAUUGGUCAAUGGACGCAAGUCUGAACCAGCCAUGCCGCGUGCAGGAAGACGGCUCUAUGAGUUGUAAACUGCUUUUGUACGAGGGUAAACGCAGAUACGCGUAUCUGUCUGAAAGUAUCGUACGAAUAAGGAUCGGCUAACUCCGUGCCAGCAGCCGCGGUAAUACGGAGGAUUCAAGCGUUAUCCGGAUUUAUUGGGUUUAAAGGGUGCGUAGGCGGUCGGAUAAGUUAGAGGUGAAAUUCCCGGGGCUCAACUUCGGAAUUGCCUCUGAUACUGUUCGGCUUAGAGAAGUAGUUGCGGUAGGGCGGAAUGUAUGGUGUAGCGGUGAAAUGUUUAGAGAUCAUACAGAACACCGAUUGCGAAGGCAGCUUACCAAGCUACUUUUGACGUUGAGGCACGAAAGCGUGGGGAGCAAACAGGAUUAGAUACCCUGGUAGUCCACACAGUAAACGAUGAUAACUCGUUGUCGGCGAUACAGUGUCGGUGACUAAGCGAAAGCGAUAAGUUAUCCACCUGGGGAGUACGUUCGCAAGAAUGAAACUCAAAGGAAUUGACGGGGGCCCGCACAAGCGGAGGAACAUGUGGUUUAAUUCGAUGAUACGCGAGGAACCUUACCCGGGCUUGAAAGUUAGUGACGGAUCUCGAAAGAGGUCUUCCCUUCGGGGCACGAAACUAGGUGCUGCAUGGUUGUCGUCAGCUCGUGCCGUGAGGUGUCGGGUUAAGUCCCAUAACGAGCGCAACCCCUACCGUUAGUUGCCAGCAGGUCAAGCUGGGCACUAUGACGGGACUGCCGGUGUAAGCCGAGAGGAAGGUGGGGAUGACGUCAAAUCAGCACGGCCCUUACGUCCGGGGCUACACACGUGUUACAAUGGCAGGUACAGAGGGCAGCUACCCAGCGAUGGGAUGCGAAUCUCGAAAGCCUGUCUCAGUUCGGAUUGGAGGCUGAAACCCGCCUCCAUGAAGUUGGAUUCGCUAGUAAUCGCGCAUCAGCCAUGGCGCGGUGAAUACGUUACCGGGCCUUGUACACACCGCCCGUCA